This 184-nucleotide small RNA is filed under the name Arabidopsis thaliana (thale cress). RNAcentral's name for it is "ATSL243420". Lineage: Eukaryota; Viridiplantae; Streptophyta; Magnoliopsida; Brassicales; Brassicaceae. The record is from RNAcentral.
GGUUCGGUUUCAUUUGUUUUGUGGAAAAAAAAAAGUCACGCGAUGGAGAUUUUGGAGAGAAGUGCGUUGAUAAAAAAAGGCAUGAAUUGGAAAGGGGUUUACCCACAGAAUCGCUCUCACUCGCUCAAAGCGCUCUUUGUGCGAGUGGGUACGAAAUAGAGCCUUCUGAUUGGCUUAGAAACUC